Molecule: ribosomal RNA, 473 nt
Filed under: uncultured Bacteroidota bacterium
Lineage: Bacteria; Pseudomonadati; Bacteroidota
Description: bacterial SSU rRNA
Rfam family: Bacterial small subunit ribosomal RNA
Source: RNAcentral
UAAGGAAUAUUGGACAAUGGGCGCAAGCCUGAUCCAGCCAUCCCGCGUGCAGGAAGAAGGCCCUAUGGGUUGUAAACUGCUUUUGUCAGGGAAUAAACCUCUCGAUUCAUUCGGGAGCUGAAGGUACCUGAAGAAUAAGCACCGGCUAACUCCGUGCCAGCAGCCGCGGUAAUACGGAGGGUGCAAGCGUUAUCCGGAAUCACUGGGUUUAAAGGGUGCGUAGGUGGCAUCGUAAGUCAGAAGUGAAAGUUUGCGGCUUAACCGUAAAAUUGCUUUUGAUACUGCAAUGCUUGAAUCAGGUUGAGGUUGGCGGAAUGUGGCAUGUAGCGGUGAAAUGCUUAGAUAUGCCAUAGAACACCGAUUGCGAAGGCAGCUGACUGGACCUGUAUUGACGCUGAGGCACGAAAGCGUGGGGAGCGGAACAGGAUUAGAUACCCUGGUAGUCCACGCCCUAAACGAUGCUCACUCGAUGU